UACGUAGGGUCCAAGCGUUGUCCGGAUUUAUUGGGCGUAAAGAGCUCGUAGGCGGUUCGGUAAGUCGGAUGUGAAAACUCAGGGCUCAACCCGGAGACGCCAUCCGAUACUGCUGUGACUUGAGUCUGGUAGGGGAACACGGAAUACCUGGUGUAGCGGUGAAAUGCGCAGAUAUCAGGUGGAACACCGAUGGCGAAGGCGCUCUGCUAGGCCGCAACUGACACUGAGGGACGAAAGCUAGGGGAGCGAAUGGG
RNAcentral lists this ribosomal RNA (254 nucleotides) under uncultured bacterium. RNAcentral's name for it is "partial 16S ribosomal RNA". It matches the Rfam family "Bacterial small subunit ribosomal RNA", at positions 524 to 776 of the family's 1533-position model. The record is from RNAcentral.